AUGAACGCUGGCGGCGUGCCUAAUACCUGCAAGUCGAGCGAACAGACGAGGAGCUUGCUCCUCUGACGUUAGCGGCGGACGGGUGAGUAACACGUGGAUAACCUACCUAUAAGACUGGGAUAACUUCGGGAAACCGGAGCUAAUACCGGAUAAUAUAUUGAACCGCAUGGUUCAAUAGUGAAAGACGGUUUUGCUGUCACUUAUAUAUGGAUCCGCGCCGCAUUAGCUAGUUGGUAAGGUAACGGCUUACCAAGGCAACGAUGCGUAGCCGACCUGAGAGGGUGAUCGGCCACACUGGAACUGAGACACGGUCCAGACUCCUACGGGAGGCAGCAGUAGGGAAUCUUCCGCAAUGGGCGAAAGCCUGACGGAGCAACGCCGCGUGAGUGAUGAAGGUCUUCGGAUCGUAAAACUCUGUUAUUAGGGAAGAACAAAUGUGUAAGUAACUAUGCACGUCUUGACGGUACCUAAUCAGAAAGCCACGGCUAACUACGUG
RNAcentral lists this ribosomal RNA (496 nucleotides) under uncultured bacterium. Its description in RNAcentral is "partial 16S ribosomal RNA". It matches the Rfam family "Bacterial small subunit ribosomal RNA", at positions 29 to 507 of the family's 1533-position model. The record is from RNAcentral.